AGGCGAGGGGUUGUGGGAGUGUGUGUACCGGUGCUACCACGCCGGUGCGGAGUAAGAAAUCGAGGGUAUAGACGAAGGGUCUGGAAAGGCCUGGCAGAGUCGGUGACACCCCGGUAGUCGAAAUGUCCUCGACUCCGUAUCGCAUUUCCCAAGUAGUACGGGGCCCGAGAAAUCCCGUACGAAUCUGGCAGGACCACCUGCUAAGCCUAAAUAUUCCUUGGUGACCGAUAGCGGACAAGUA
This 241-nucleotide ribosomal RNA is filed under the name Oxyrrhis marina. RNAcentral describes it as "partial Bacterial large subunit ribosomal RNA". It matches the Rfam family "Bacterial large subunit ribosomal RNA", at positions 288 to 500 of the family's 2925-position model. The record is from RNAcentral. Lineage: Eukaryota; Dinophyceae; Oxyrrhinales; Oxyrrhinaceae.